This 45-nucleotide small RNA is filed under the name Lentisphaera araneosa HTCC2155. Its description in RNAcentral is "Acido-Lenti-1 RNA". It matches the Rfam family "Acido-Lenti-1 RNA". Lineage: Bacteria; Pseudomonadati; Lentisphaerota; Lentisphaeria; Lentisphaerales; Lentisphaeraceae. The record is from Rfam by way of RNAcentral.
CCUAGCACUGCGUACUAGGCUAGUUUAUGUCGUGCUUUCAGCACU